UCAGACGAUGCGUCAUGCAUAUCAAUAAGCGGAGGAAAAGAAACUAACAAGGAUUCCCUUAGUAACGGCGAGUGAAGCGGGAAGAGCUCAAAUUUGAAAUCUUCAAGGUUUUACCUUGACGAAUUGUAGUUUAAAGAAGUGUUUUCUGCUGAAGUUUUGGUAAAAGUUCUUUGGAAUAGGACAUCAUAGAGGGUGAGAAUCCUGUAUUUGACCAUUAUUUUCAGCUGUGUGAUACACUUUCAAAGAGUCGGAUUGUUUGGGAAUGCAGUCCAAAAUGGGUGGUAAAUUUCAUCUAAAGCUAAAUAUUGGCGAGAGACCGAUAGCGAACAAGUACCGUGAGGGAAAGAUGAAAAGAACUUUGAAAGAGAGUUAAACAGUACGUGAAAUUGUCAAAAGGGAAGCGUUUGACACCAGUGUUGUUUUCUCGAAAAUCAAUUAAAAAGAGUUAGAUUUUGUUGUGUAUUGACCUUAACAGCUUGCAUUUCAAUUUUCUUGCUUUUUUUAAUGCACUUUUCGUUUAACAAGUCAACAUCAGUUUCUUUUGUUGUAAAAAGGUCAUUGGAAGGUAGCUUUCUUUUCGGAGAAAGUGUUUAUAGCCUUUGACUCCUGCAAUCGGAGAGACUGAGGUCUGCAGCGUAGAUCCUUCGGGGUUAGAUACAUUUGUGCUAAGUUAUAGUCUUUUAUAGACAACUUGUUGACUAUGAUUAGUCUUGUAGCUUACUCGCUUAUGCUAUUUUACCUACGCUUAGGAUGUUGAGUCGUAGAGCACGCAG
This 773-nucleotide ribosomal RNA is filed under the name uncultured Neocallimastigales. RNAcentral's name for it is "partial large subunit ribosomal RNA". It matches the Rfam family "Eukaryotic large subunit ribosomal RNA", at positions 18 to 605 of the family's 3401-position model. The record is from RNAcentral. Lineage: Eukaryota; Fungi; Neocallimastigomycota; Neocallimastigomycetes; Neocallimastigales.